This 94-nucleotide small nuclear RNA is filed under the name Dichanthelium oligosanthes. The record is from RNAcentral. Lineage: Eukaryota; Viridiplantae; Streptophyta; Magnoliopsida; Poales; Poaceae.
GUCUCUUCGGAGACAUCCGAUAAAAUUAGAACAAGAUUAGCAUGGCCCCUGCGUAAGGAUGCCAUGCACAGAUCGAGAAAUGGUCUAAAUUUUU